GGUGAACGCUGGCGGCAGGCCUAAUACAUGCAAGUCGAACGGCAGCACAGCAGAGCUUGCUCUGUGGGUGGCGAGUGGCGGACGGGUGAGGAAUACAUGGGAAUCUGCCCAGUCGUGGGGAUAACGUAGGGAAACUUACGCUAAUACCGCAUGCGCCCUUCGGGGGAAAGCCGGGGACCUUCGGGCCUGGCGCGAUUGGAUGAGCCCAUGUCGGAUUAGCUAGUUGGCGGGGUAAUGGCCCACCAAGGCGACGAUCCGUAGCUGGUCUGAGAGGAUGAUCAGCCACACUGGAACUGAGACACGGUCCAGACUCCUACGGGAGCAGCAGUAGGGAAUAUUGGACAAUGGGCGCAAGCCUGAUCCAGCCAUGCCGCGUGAGUGAAGUAGG
RNAcentral lists this ribosomal RNA (388 nucleotides) under uncultured bacterium. RNAcentral describes it as "bacterial SSU rRNA". It matches the Rfam family "Bacterial small subunit ribosomal RNA", at positions 28 to 414 of the family's 1533-position model. The record is from RNAcentral.